AAAUUGAAGAGUUUGAUCAUGGCUCAGAUUGAACGCUGGCGGCAGGCCUAACACAUGCAAGUCGAACGGUAACAGGAAGCAGCUUGCUGCUUCGCUGACGAGUGGCGGACGGGUGAGUAAUGUCUGGGAAACUGCCUGAUGGAGGGGGAUAACUACUGGAAACGGUGGCUAAUACCGCAUAACGUCGCAAGACCAAAGAGGGGGACCUUCGGGCCUCUUGCCAUCAGAUGUGCCCAGAUGGGAUUAGCUUGUUGGUGAGGUAACGGCUCACCAAGGCGACGAUCCCUAGCUGGUCUGAGAGGAUGACCAGCCACACUGGAACUGAGACACGGUCCAGACUCCUACGGGAGGCAGCAGUGGGGAAUAUUGCACAAUGGGCGCAAGCCUGAUGCAGCCAUGCCGCGUGUAUGAAGAAGGCCUUCGGGUUGUAAAGUACUUUCAGCGGGGAGGAAGGUGUUGCGGUUAAUAACCGCAGCAAUUGACGUUACCCGCAGAAGAAGCACCGGCUAACUCCGUGCCAGCAGCCGCGGUAAUACGGAGGGUGCAAGCGUUAAUCGGAAUUACUGGGC
Molecule: ribosomal RNA, 569 nt
Filed under: Salmonella enterica subsp. enterica serovar Infantis
Lineage: Bacteria; Pseudomonadati; Pseudomonadota; Gammaproteobacteria; Enterobacterales; Enterobacteriaceae
Also listed under: 2 other names
Description: bacterial SSU rRNA
Rfam family: Bacterial small subunit ribosomal RNA
Source: RNAcentral